RNAcentral lists this transfer RNA (74 nucleotides) under Flavobacteriales bacterium. RNAcentral describes it as "tRNA-Arg". It matches the Rfam family "tRNA". From Rfam's summary of the family: Transfer RNA (tRNA) molecules are approximately 80 nucleotides in length. The record is from RNAcentral. Lineage: Bacteria; Pseudomonadati; Bacteroidota; Flavobacteriia; Flavobacteriales.
GACCCCGUAGCUCAGCUGGAUAGAGCAGCAGCCUUCUAAGCUGCCGGCCGUUGGUUCGAAUCCAACCGGGGUCG